CUUUUAUAGAACAGAAUUGAGGAGGAGACUCGGGAAGCUGCCUUCCUGUCUUCAGGGCUGGAAAUCCACGAGUGAGUGCGUGCACAUUACUGAAUUGCCAAUGCAUCACACUAACUCCAUGUGAUGCUCCUGACAACACCAUGAAUUCAGUGAAAUCAGCUCCCUUUGUUCAGAUGAGGAAACAGAUCCUGGAGCUGUUUAUAAGAUUCAGAGCAGAUCUUCCCGACCCCAAGGGUCAAGUCAUGGAAAUUCAUUCUAAUGCUGCCUCCCGGGACCUUGAGUGUCGUGUCUCCUGAGUCACACGUGUUUACCCUCUGCACUCGCCACUUCUCCGCUUUGACCUCCUGGAGGUGGAAGGAUGGAACCAAGGCCAGGUCAAGACAAAGGCCUGGGUCUCCUGCUGCGCCAGGUCGGCUCCUCUCAGCGUUUCACAGAACCUGCUGGAUGAUACACAGUCACCUUCAUUCCAGAGUGUUUUCAUUUCCCAGGGCUGCGUAACAAAGGAUGCCAGACCAGAGCAACAGAAGUUCGUUCGGGAGGCUGGAAGUCUGAAGCCCAGGUGUGGGUGGGGCUGGUUCCUCCUGGAGCACUGAAGGAGAAUCUUCUGGAGGCUCUCGUCCAUCCUUGAUGCUCCUUGGCAGGUGGCAGAGUAACUCCAGCCUCUGCCUUACCAUGGCUCCUCCCUGUCUCUGCCUCGUCUGUACCUGUG
Bos taurus (domestic cattle) is the source of this 709-nucleotide long non-coding RNA. The record is from Ensembl. Lineage: Eukaryota; Metazoa; Chordata; Mammalia; Artiodactyla; Bovidae.